Molecule: ribosomal RNA, 771 nt
Filed under: uncultured bacterium
Lineage: Bacteria
Description: bacterial SSU rRNA
Rfam family: Bacterial small subunit ribosomal RNA
Source: RNAcentral
AGAGUUUGAUUAUGGCUCAGAANNNACGCUGGCGGCAUGCCUAACACAUGCAAGUCGAACGCGGGGCUUCGGCCCCGAGUGGCGCACGGGUGAGUAGCGCGUGGGAACCUGCCCUUCAGUGGGGGAUAACCGAGGGAAACUUCGGCUAAUACCGCAUGCGCCCGGAGCAAUCCGGGGAAAGAUUUAUCGCUGAAGGAGGGGCCCGCGUCGGAUUAGCUAGUUGGUAGGGUAACGGCCUACCAAGGCUUUGAUCCGUAGCUGGUCUGAGAGGAUGAUCAGCCACACUGGGACUGAGACACGGCCCAGACUCCUACGGGAGGCAGCAGUGGGGAAUAUUGGACAAUGGGCGAAAGCCUGAUCCAGCAAUGCCGCGUGAGUGAGGAAGGCCUUAGGGUUGUAAAGCUCUUUCGGCGGGGACGAUGAUGACGGUACCCGCAGAAGAAGCCCCGGCUAACUUCGUGCCAGCAGCCGCGGUAAUACGAAGGGGGCGAGCGUUGUUCGGAUUUACUGGGCGUAAAGGGCGCGCAGGCGGUCAUUUUUGUCGAGUGUGAAAGCCCCGGGCUUAACCUGGGAACUGCGCUCGAAACGGGAUGACUAGAGAUCGGGAGAGGAGAGUGGAAUUCCCAGUGUAGAGGUGAAAUUCGUAGAUAUUGGGAAGAACACCCGUGGCGAAAGCGGCGCGCUGGACCACUACUGACGCUGAGGAACGAAAGCUAGGGGAGCAAACAGGAUUAGAUACCCUGGUAGUCCUAGCCCUAAACGAUCAGGACU